Long non-coding RNA from Monodelphis domestica (gray short-tailed opossum), 1549 nucleotides. The record is from Ensembl. Lineage: Eukaryota; Metazoa; Chordata; Mammalia; Didelphimorphia; Didelphidae.
AAGCUGUCCCAUUUUUAGUGCUCAUCCCCAGAAGGUAGAACCAAGACCAGUAAUUAUAAAUGGCAUUGAUAUCACACUUUAAGCUGAACAAAGCACUUGACAUACAUUAUCUCAUUUGAACCUCACAGGUUCUGCAUGGUAGAUAUGACUGGCCCAUUUUGCAGAUGGAAAAACUGAAGCUCAGAGAGAUUGUCUCAACUAUGGUCAUUCAGUUGAUGAGCAUAGGAGGGAGAAAAAUCUCUCCAGGAGUCCCUGCAAAUGUGAAUGGCUCAAUUUUAUUGCAGACAAGCUACUGAAGGUAAGAAUGAUUACUCUGUCUCAGUACCCCUACUGCCUUAAGGCCAGAUUUUAGAUUUUUUUAGAUGUUAGAUUUCAUCUGUCCCCCAGGAUUCUCUGGUAGGGAAUGUCUCUGAUCUCUCUGUCACUGACUCAAAUCCCCAUUGAUUAUGUUCCCUCAAUUUUAGAGUCUCUACUAUCUCUUCCCACCUUAAUUUAACCACUUGAUAGCUAGAUGAGCUCCUACAAAGGAAUAUUUAUUUCAGAGGGAUAAUUUUUAAAAAUGGACUUUUCCGGCAGCAAAGUUAUUGGGGUAGGGAGAGAUGCCUACAGAUACUCAUCUGUCACAGUGGAAAAGAAGAUUCAUUAAUUUAUUCAAUAAGCUCAUAGCGGAUGCUAAGCCUUGUGGUAGCUAUCAGCAAAAUUCUGGAAGGUAUUAUUAAAAGGACUAAUUGUGAUAAUUUAAAAGGGGAAGUUUAGUCACAUGACCAGCAAGAUCAGAGAUUAAUUACUAGUUUAUAACUCUGCCCCAUUUAAAAAAAAAGGAGUGGAAAUUAUUUGACUAAUAGAGAACAAUUACAGUUGAAUCUCUAGAACAAAUAAGAGUAAAAAAAGGGUAAAAUUCAUUUGAAUCAAUACUAAAGAACUUUAAUUCUCAAACUACUCACUGAACAUGCUCCUCUACCAACCUCCAUGCUCCUACAAUAGGGAAACAAGGUAACUCACAAAUUUGCAUCUUGGUUCCAUCACACAGAGUCUCAGCUGGCACAUUCCCACCACCACCACCACCACCAUCACCACCACCUCCACUACCAUCACAAUCUUCUCCUGGUCUCACAACAAGCAGUAGAUAAUGACCAAACCACUGUGAGGAAGUGUUGGUAAGGGCAGACUGGAUGUUGGCGAAAGGGCGACCAUAAGUGGGCUGCCUUUUGAAAAGUGUUCAGCCCAGGGUGGUAGAGGGUUUUUACAAAAAGUAGAAGAUGCUUACUCAGUCCAGCCCAAAGAAGGCAAUGAGAAAAGUGAAGGAGGAAAUGAUUAGAAGAAAUACCUACACUGGAACAGUGGAAAGGGGGCUAAACUAUCUAAAUCCAGUCAGGUAACCCAAGAGGGCAAUCAGAAGAGGACCCCAGGCAGGCAAAUACUACAUCUCCUAAUAUGAGAGGAAAACAAAAGCAAAGGGGAAAAAAUACACACACAUAUAUACACUCACACAUACUCACAAAUGCAACAACAUGAAAUGACAAUAAACAAUGCUAAAUAUAAGAAGGCA